This 207-nucleotide ribosomal RNA is filed under the name uncultured Eubacteriales bacterium. Its description in RNAcentral is "uncultured Clostridiales bacterium partial 16S ribosomal RNA". It matches the Rfam family "Bacterial small subunit ribosomal RNA", at positions 568 to 775 of the family's 1533-position model. The record is from RNAcentral. Lineage: Bacteria; Bacillati; Bacillota; Clostridia; Eubacteriales.
UGAGUAGGCGGUAAUGUGUGUCAGAUGUAAAAGGCGUAGGCUUAACUUACGUAAGCAUUUGAAACUGCAUUACUUGAGUGCAGGAGGGGUAAGUGGAAUUCCUAGUGUAGCGGUGAAAUGCGUAGAUAUUAGGAGGAACACCAGUGGCGAAGGCGACUUACUGGACUGUAACUGACGCUGAGUCACGAAAGCGUGGGUAGCAAACAG